Long non-coding RNA from Siniperca chuatsi (mandarin fish), 1162 nucleotides. RefSeq lists it as uncharacterized. Lineage: Eukaryota; Metazoa; Chordata; Actinopteri; Centrarchiformes; Sinipercidae. The transcript is spliced from 3 exons. The record is from RefSeq and is a predicted model, not a curated record.
GAAAAGACCACAAACACAUUAUAAUGUGACCAACAUACUGUAGGUGAUAUUUAGUCAUGUUUUAUUACAAUAUGGUACAAUAUUUCUUCUUUAGAUGACAACUGAAUUGUCAGCAUAGAAAUAGCAAAUGAAGUAGACAUAAAAGUGUGGUGAAACAAUUAAAGAAAAAAAAAUACUUACAAGGUUAUGUAAAAAUGCUGACAAUUUCAACAUGUGUUUCAAUAUGAUCCAAUACAUACAGUUACAUAUAAUUACAUAAACUGUGAUGCUGUGCAAAUAUGCUAUCAGAUAUAAACAAUAUUCAUAUAUAUAUAUAUAUAUAUAUAUAUAUCCACUCAGUGCUGUCCAAGGUGCUUUGUAUAUUCUUCCACCAGCUUGUAUGUGUCAUGUUAGCAGUAAUGCCAGUAUGUGAGCUACAGCACAUGAAAAGUAUAGAUGCUCUAUAUUGUGAAGAGAGUAGAGAAUAAGUCUCAUUCUCUUCCCCUUCUGCUAUGUCCAGUAUGAGCCACGCCUUCAUUAUAGCAGCAUGAGCCUCUUUCUGUUGGUUUCAUUAUACAACGCACAGAGACCAAUGUAAAUCCUUCGAAGAGCCAUGUUGCUUUUACAGUUCAGUGGCAAAUAACGGGGGCAUACUUUAAUGCUUCGCAGAGCUCAUUACAAUGCCUUUGUGGGAACUUAACUGUGCUGACACACUAUCUAAAGAGUCUAGGCCUUCUUAGCAGCUCUGGCAUGGAGAAGAGUUUACACACUUCAUGCAGCCAAGCUGACAGCCUCAGCUCAUAUCUAGCCUGGGCUGACCCAAGGCAUGUGUUUGAGAUUAGACUGCGAGGAGGGAGGCUGCUGCCGAGGAAUGGACAGGGGGCUAAAUGAGGAGAAGGGGAACACAUGCUGAUAGGCAGCGAAACGGAGCGGGUGAGGGCGAGAAAUGAUGGUGGAGAAUUGCUGCUGCAGCAAUGGAUUAAAAAGUCUGACACAGUGACCAUGGGGGGAUUUUCUGUCUUUCUGGAUAACAAGGAGAGUGUGGGCCACAAGAGAUGGUGGGGGCUUGUUCUUUGACGUGAGGAUAACAAAGCCAAAGCCCUCGUUGUCUUUGCGCUGCAGAGUAACGUCAAAGCACUCCGGCCGAGGGGUCUGAACGGGCUGGACGGCGUUCGGAAACUCG